This is a long non-coding RNA of Osmia lignaria (orchard mason bee), 2617 nucleotides long. RefSeq lists it as uncharacterized. The record is from RefSeq and is a predicted model, not a curated record. Lineage: Eukaryota; Metazoa; Arthropoda; Insecta; Hymenoptera; Megachilidae.
AUACAGCAUGUUUUACGAUGGGAGUGCCUUGUGGCGGACAGUGCCGGUUGCUCUCUCGUAGAAGUGUGUCGACGUCGACCGUCUUUCCCGUUCCCUUCUUGGCCGGCCCGUCGCGCGUCGAUUCAACACACUCUCCGUGUGACUCACAGCGGUCGGUUAAGUGUGCCAGUCGGUGUUUUCCUCUCUUCCUCGUGCUACGACACGCGGUCCUCUUCUUUAUCCUCAUUUGCGAGUCCGCUACCGGCCAAUCGCAAUCUAGCCGGAGAGACUGGCGCGAUUUUUUGAAAGUAAGAAAGGAACGAAAAAGACAGAGAACGGAGGUGUGGCUGUGCAUCGGUAGGCAGAUAUUGCGAAUUUCCGUCGGUUCUUUGAUAAACGAGCGGACGGACGUUCGCGUUAGAAACGCCGCGAACCUGGUACUUUAAUGAAUUAAGGGAUCAAGUCGAGGCUAAACCGAGACAAAUUUAUAACGAAUAGCCUAAAAAGAAUCAAGUCACUAUAGAAAAUUGAACCCCCUGUUACAUUUGCUUGACGAUGAAGGUAACGGGAUGGGGAAAUCGCGGGAAAUUCAAGCGUGGCACCUGUGGAAUUCGAUCGUAGACAGGAUCAGAAUCGUCCUGACAUAGCUAAGAUCCCAGAAACACCGAGGCUAACUUUGUUCGACCUUGACUCUUCAGGAACUUACCCUGGCCGAGUGACGUUGAGGGUCGAAGGACGAUCUUCACCUCUGCCCAUUCGAUUUUCUCGAUUUUCUCGAAUGUCUCAAUCGUCGCGUUAGAUCGUCGCGUCUAUCCGUUUGAAGAAAUGCGGAAGAACCCCCGGUGGAUUCCCAGGGAAUAUUUUAACCUUGGUAAGAGGUUCUCCCUUUCUCUCCUCUUAGCCCUCUUUCUAUACAGUGACCUAUUUAGGCAUGGGCAAGGUCGUUUAGUGAAGGCCCAAUGCAUUCACCACGAGCGGAAGCUACCUGACUGAAUUAUCAUUCAAAGUUAUGCAUUCAACUUAUGCAUUCGAAACGGCAAUGGUAAAGAAUUUUGAGGAAUUUCGUUAAAAUCAUUUUAUAACAGCCAGGUAAAUAAUAAUAGCAAUUUAAGAUAUAAUAAUUCUUCUUAACAACUAUUGACCAGAUUAUUUUUGCUUAUAUUUACCUUUACAUUCUCGUAUCUCAUCCUAACUGAAGGAUUCCAUCAUCCUACCUCCCUUCCCUAGAAACAAGUACUUUUCGUGAUUGACAACGAAUUGUUUUCGGCGUCAGGCAGUUCCAGAACCUUUUAACAUUGGCGUCAUGUAAUCCUGCAGCCUUCACCAGCUUCAAGGACCUACGCGAGUCUCUCUGCUGAUCGUUCGAUCACGAAGAAGCCGAGCCAAGGACGGCUACUAACAACUUUAUUCGGUAUUCUGGUGAAAUUUAACAUUAUAUACUCUCUAAUUAAAUAAUUAGAGUAAAUAGUAAAAGAACGAAGCUUCAAUUUGAAAAUUAAUUGACUAAUGAACUGUAGUUUCUCAUAAACUGCAGCGUUUCGUAAACGUUGAAAAUAAUAACGCGAUAAAGUGGUGGCAUUAAAAGCAGCAGCAGCAGUAGCAGUAGCGGUAGAGGAAGUUGGUUCUCGCACGGUACAAAGCCGUGUCCACUUCACGUGGGUAUCUGUGUACGCGCACAGGUCGCCACGCAAUGAAUCGCAGAAUUUCCACGAGUUUCCCGCGCAAAGCUUCCUCGGCUUGGAACUCGUUUGAUUAACAGUGGCCGCGGCGCGGUCAGUAGAACGAUUCUGCCGGUGGUCAGACUCGACUCGAGUUUCUACUAUGUAUAUACGUAGUUCGAACAUUCUCCUCCCUCGCGAUUCCAGCCUUUCGUUUAGGGCCGAAAAAAAGAAAGAAAAUUCUUUGUAUCGGUCAAUUUCUUUAACUCCUUCAUUGACAAACCGUAAAUGUACCGUACACGCUAAUAUAAAUUAUUACGUUUAAUUCGACGAGUUUCCUCCUUGGUCUUUUUAUUAGAAUUACAUACCCUAAAUCAGGUUGUCCUGGAGAAAAUAUAUAAAUCAUAUAAUCUUUUAUUAUUAAAUAUCAUAAAACCUAGAUACUGGUAAUUCUUUAAAAUGUUUUGGAAAAUUUGUUGAUCGAAUAUCAAUGAACAUGACAGGUAUGCACUGUCGACGAAUCAGUAAUCCGUUCAGUUAUCGAUACUACGCGGUCUGAUAAUUAAAUAAUGGGGUUGACGCUACGCCAGACAAAUUAAUGUCCCUAGUCAAGCAGCGAGCAUUGUACCGUUGAUUUUCGACCCUCUCUGCCGCAAAUAUCGCUUUAAUCUCUUCCGUCAGUGUGUACGGAUGACUUAUCUCUCGUUUUCCCUCUGUCCUGUGACAUUGAAUGCUGAUCAAUGAGAAUAGUUGAGAUAAAAAUUAUUUCGAGUACAAUUUUCCUUUCGAGUUCUAUAAUCGCUUAUUUUGGUACAUUUAGUGUACAGUGUAUCGUAUCAAGUUCUUUCGCACUUCCCCUUAACUAAAAGAAGCGUGCACCUACCGUGCACCUGACUGUACGUCCACGUGAUACCGACAGUGGCAUUGUGGUGUGGAAAAAAAAAAAAAAGAAAUAGAUAUGGACGGCUACCAGGAAAAUA